RNAcentral lists this ribosomal RNA (197 nucleotides) under Escherichia coli. Its description in RNAcentral is "partial 16S ribosomal RNA". It matches the Rfam family "Bacterial small subunit ribosomal RNA", at positions 1 to 205 of the family's 1533-position model. Lineage: Bacteria; Pseudomonadati; Pseudomonadota; Gammaproteobacteria; Enterobacterales; Enterobacteriaceae. The record is from RNAcentral. RNAcentral also lists the same sequence under 2 other names.
AAAUUGAAGAGUUUGAUCAUGGCUCAGAUUGAACGCUGGCGGCAGGCCUAACACAUGCAAGUCGAACGGUAACAGGAAACAGCUUGCUGUUUCGCUGACGAGUGGCGGACGGGUGAGUAAUGUCUGGGAAACUGCCUGAUGGAGGGGGAUAACUACUGGAAACGGUAGCUAAUACCGCAUAAUGUCGCAAGACUAAA